This 484-nucleotide ribosomal RNA is filed under the name uncultured bacterium. RNAcentral's name for it is "partial 16S ribosomal RNA". It matches the Rfam family "Bacterial small subunit ribosomal RNA", at positions 30 to 507 of the family's 1533-position model. The record is from RNAcentral.
AUUGAACGCUGGCGGCAGGCCUAACACAUGCAAGUCGAGCGGAUGAAGGGAGCUUGCUCCUGGAUUCAGCGGCGGACGGGUGAGUAAUGCCUAGGAAUCUGCCUGGUAGUGGGGGAUAACGUCCGGAUACGGGCGCUAAUACCGCAUACGUCCUGAGGGAGAAAGUGGGGGAUCUUCGGACCUCACGCUAUCAGAUGAGCCUAGGUCGGAUUAGCUAGUUGGUGGGGUAAAGGCCUACCAAGGCGACGAUCCGUAACUGGUCUGAGAGGAUGAUCAGUCACACUAGAACGGAAACGCGGUCCAGACUACUACGGGAGGCAGCAGUGUGGAAUAUAAGACAAUGGGGGAAAGCCUGAUCCAGCCGUGCAGCGUGUGUUGAGAAGGUCUUCGGGUUGUAAAGCACUUUAAGUUGGGAGGAAGGGCAGUAAGUUAAUACCUUGCUGUUUUGACGUUACCAACAGAAUAAGCACCGGCUAACUUCGUG